GACGAACGCUGGCGGCGUGCUUAACACAUGCAAGUCGAACGAUGAAGCCGGAGCUUGCUCUGGUGAAUUAGUGGCGAACGGGUGAGUAACACGUGAGUAACCUGCCCUUGACUCUGGGAUAACUGCUAGAAAUGGUAGCUAAUACCGGAUACGACCCUCGGAGGCAUCUCCAGGGGGUGGAAAGAAUUUCGGUCAAGGAUGGACUCGCGGCCUAUCAGCUUGUUGGUGAGGUAACGGCUCACCAAGGCGACGACGGGUAACCGGCCGGAGAGGGUGACCAGUCACACUGGGACUGAGACACGGCCCAGACUCCUACGGGAGGCAGCAGUGGGGAAUAUUGCACAAUGGGCGCAAGCCUGAUGCAGCAACGCCGCGUGAGGGAUGAAGGCCUUCGGGUUGUAAACCUCUUUUAGCAGGGAAGAAGCGAAAGUGACGGUACCUGCAGAAAAAGCACCGGCUAACUACGUGCCAGCAGCCGCGGUAA
RNAcentral lists this ribosomal RNA (484 nucleotides) under uncultured bacterium. Its description in RNAcentral is "partial 16S ribosomal RNA". It matches the Rfam family "Bacterial small subunit ribosomal RNA", at positions 28 to 523 of the family's 1533-position model. The record is from RNAcentral.